Perca flavescens (yellow perch) is the source of this 959-nucleotide long non-coding RNA. RefSeq lists it as uncharacterized. Lineage: Eukaryota; Metazoa; Chordata; Actinopteri; Perciformes; Percidae. The record is from RefSeq and is a predicted model, not a curated record. The transcript has 2 exons.
ACUCAUUGUCCUCAUGUAUUACCACCUCCUCCUCUUCCUGUACAACUUCAACCUUUGGCCGCUCUGCUUCUUUUUUCUGAAGGGAAAGAUUCACACAGAUAGACACGGUUAGCUUUCCCAACUGGUACAGCAGCAUCUGUAUUGCCAUGAACAGGGCUUUUGGUAACAGCAAGCACACACCUUGUACUCUUCCUGUUGUAUCCUGCAGUAGCGGUCAUUACACUGGGGGUUGGCUUUCAUGGUCAUGGUGGGGAAGAAGUCCUGCAUGGCAUUGUAGCCAAGAUAAUAACUGACUGUGCCAAACUUCAACAGAUACCUGAGAGACAAAAAAAUUCAAUCAACAAUAUUUAACUUAACAUUUACAGACAAAUACACCUUUUAGGCUUCCCACCGAUAAGGAUAACUUACUUGAGGACAUUUUGCACCAGGAGGCCUGCGACCACGCCCAUUGUUGUUGCAAAGCACGCCGUCUCUCCCGGAAUGAUGAGCUGGAUGUGCCCCGACACAGCGUUCUCACUGACACCAGACUCCAUCCAGAUCUGACCUAGUUCAUUACAGGCCUGUGAAAAACAUGAUGCAAUUAAUACAAUCUGCAAGAGUACCAUGUAUAAAGCUUUUUUUCUCUGACAGUGCUGCACUUACUGUAUUAAUGGCCAUCCUAGCCUCAAAGUUGUCUACACAGCUCAGGAUCAAAUCCACUGGCUUCCCUUCUUCUAGCCCUCCAUAACUGAGAAGACACAGAAUCAUUUGUUGUGAAGGCCUGUACCACUGAGGAGUGAGAAUAGUAAAACUAGAAACUGCAGUGUAGGAAUGCUCACCUGAUGCGCUCCAUAAAAUGUGUAAAAUUUUCCAAUGUGGUGAUAUUGUAGUUGUGGGUCUCAAAUGACACAUCCGGAUUAAUGUUCCUGUUGGGUAAAUUGAGUAACAUGUAAGCAACAAUAAACCAAAUGUCUAUUUUC